RNAcentral lists this ribosomal RNA (301 nucleotides) under uncultured bacterium. Its description in RNAcentral is "partial 16S ribosomal RNA". It matches the Rfam family "Bacterial small subunit ribosomal RNA", at positions 509 to 807 of the family's 1533-position model. The record is from RNAcentral.
CAGUAGCCGCGGUAAUACGAAGGGGGCUAGCGUUGUUCGGAUUAACUGGGCGUAAAGGGCGCGUAGGCGGGUUUUUAAGUCAGAGGUGAAAUCCCAAGGCUCAACCUUGGAACUGCCUUUGAUACUGGAAGUCUUGAGUCCGGGAGAGGUGAGUGGAACUGCGAGUGUAGAGGUGAAAUUCGUAGAUAUUCGCAAGAACACCAGUGGCGAAGGCGGCUCACUGGCCCGGUACUGACGCUGAGGCGCGAAAGCGUGGGGAGCAAACAGGAUUAGAUACCCGUGUAGUCCCUGUCUCUUAUAC